Non-coding RNA from Anas platyrhynchos (mallard), 272 nucleotides. The record is from RefSeq and is a predicted model, not a curated record. Lineage: Eukaryota; Metazoa; Chordata; Aves; Anseriformes; Anatidae.
UCCUAGCGUUUGCUGCAAUGCACUCCAGGGACCUAGACAAAGAAGACCUGCAUGUGAUCAUCACCUUCCUCCAAAUGCAAUGUGACACCCAUCCACUGAUCCGUAACCUGGCAGCUGGACCAUAGAGAUCCUGCAACGUCAAGUACAGCAGCAACCCGCAUCAUCAAGAUGGGCUAGGCUAAAAGCACUGCGCUGCUGGCCGUGAAAAGCCAGGGAGCCGCAAAGCUUCCCUGGGGAAGAUCUCUCUGAAUAAAACUGCAACUACACGACCA